Molecule: transfer RNA, 87 nt
Filed under: bacterium
Lineage: Bacteria
Also listed under: 1 other name
Description: tRNA-Leu
Rfam family: tRNA
About the family: Transfer RNA (tRNA) molecules are approximately 80 nucleotides in length. Their secondary structure includes four short double-helical elements and three loops (D, anti-codon, and T loops).
Source: RNAcentral
GCCGAAAUGGCGGAAUUGGUAGACGCGCUACGUUCAGGUCGUAGUAGGGAUCCCCCUGUGGAAGUUCGAGUCUUCUUUUCGGCACCA